AGCAUAGAGUUGAGUUUGUGAUUGCAUUUCCGCAAAACGGCAUCGUGUUUUUGAUCGAUAAUACUUCGUAGACACAAUGUUUAGAAACCAGUACGAUACCGAUGUGACGACAUGGUCGCCGGCGGGAAGGUUAUUUCAGGUGGAGUAUGCAAUGGAGGCAGUGAAGCAAGGUUCGGCGGCGAUAGGUUUGAGAUCGAAGACGCAUGUGAUUCUGGCGUCUGUUAACAAGGCUAAUUCUGAGCUGUCUUCUCACCAGAAGAAGAUCUUCAAAGUUGAUGACCACAUCGGAGUUGCAAUCGCUGGACUUACUGCUGACGGCCGUGUACUUUCUCGUUAUAUGCGUACUGAGUGUAUUAACUAUAGUUACUCUUAUGAGUCGCCGUUACCUGUCGGGCGUCUGGUUGUUCAGCUUGCUGAUAAAGCUCAGGUUUGCACUCAACGAUCCUGGAAACGGCCUUAUGGUGUUGGCUUGCUUGUUGGUGGACUGGAUGAGUCUGGUGCUCACCUUUAUUACAACUGCCCUAGUGGUAACUACUUUGAGUAUCAAGCGUUUGCCAUUGGAUCUCGGUCACAAGCUGCAAAAACCUACUUGGAACGUAAGUUUGAGACUUUCAUGGAUUCUUCACGUGAAAGCCUGCUUAAGGAUGCACUCUUUGCUCUGAGAGAAACUCUGCAAGGGGAAAAACUGACAAGCUCCAAUUGCACGGUGGCUGUGGUAGGAGUAGGAGAGGCUUUCCAUACCCUGGACAAGGAAACCAUACAAGCAUUGAUCAAUGAAUUUGAGAUAGCUGGAGAAGAUGCUCCUGCCGAAGUCCCGGAAGAGGCUGCAACUGAUGAACCAGCAGCACCUGAAGAAGGUGCUGCCCCUGCUGAUCAAGGAGCUGCCCCAAUGGAUAUUUGAUAAUGUUAUGUCUUCCUUUAGGCCUCACUUCUUUCAUAUUCAGAGAUUUCUUCUUAGAAUGUUGAGAUUUUGUGUGGCACAAUGGGUUAUAUUUUCUGCUUGGAUGUUUUAUUAUGCAAUCAUGCUUUACUUUGGUCCAAACAUCUUUAAAACUCAUGCUUCUGAAGUUGAACUAAAAACAGCUUUAAGU
RNAcentral lists this unclassified non-coding RNA (1091 nucleotides) under Hevea brasiliensis (rubber tree). The record is from RNAcentral. Lineage: Eukaryota; Viridiplantae; Streptophyta; Magnoliopsida; Malpighiales; Euphorbiaceae.